RNAcentral lists this ribosomal RNA (618 nucleotides) under Chococtenus suffuscus. Its description in RNAcentral is "partial large subunit ribosomal RNA". The stretch from base 363 to 618 matches the Rfam family "Eukaryotic large subunit ribosomal RNA", at positions 665 to 887 of the family's 3401-position model. Lineage: Eukaryota; Metazoa; Arthropoda; Arachnida; Araneae; Ctenidae. The record is from RNAcentral.
AGCGCGAGAUUCCGCUUCGCCAGACGCAUUUGUCUCCCGCUCGAAGGACGCCGCAGCCGGUCGGGCAGUGCAAGCGCGACGGCCUGAGGGGCGGACGACGGCAGGUGGCCGGUGGCGCGCUUCGUGCGCGUCGCCGGUUGUUAGCCAGUCCGCCAGUGGCUCGUCGCUCGACCGAGUUACACGUCUCCUCCUUUAAACGAGGAAGUCGGGACGGACCGUCGCAAGCGAAGGCCGCCGUCCCGCCGCACUCCCUCGGAGUGGGCGGGCGAACGGUCGGCGCCGAUGGCGACGGCGGACCCGCGGGAGGCCGGAGGCUGGCGGCGAGUAGGUCGGUCACCCACCCGACCCGUCUUGAAACACGGACCAAGGAGUCUAACAUGUGCGCGAGUCAAUGGGUCUUGAACAGGCCCAGGGGCGCAAUGAAAGCAAAGGUCGGCUCCCGUCGACCGAGUUGGGAUCCCGCCCCCCGUUCCGGGUGCGGGCGCACCAACGACCCGUCCUGUGCGGCUCGCCGCUUGGGCGGAGUGCGAGCGUACACGUUGGGACCCGAAAGAUGGUGAACUAUGCCCGGACAGGACGAGGCCAGANGAAACUCUGGUGGAGGUCCGCAGCGGUUCU